AAGUCUAGUAAAAUUGUUAACAAUAUAGGCUGUUAGCAAGAUUUCAGGUACACUUAUUGGAAUUACUAUCUCUUUUUGUUUGUUUCCUUUAGCUGUUCCGCAGAGGAUCAUAUCUGCUGCAGUCCUGAUAUGAUGAACAGUUAAACUGCUGAUUUGUUUUGAUACACUCGGUCUGUUUCACCUGGAACAUUACUGUUCAGAUUGGUUAGGUUGAGGUCUAUCACAAAUAUCCUACUUAAAUAAUGAGUAGGUACUCCCCCAGACCACAACUCUGGAUGGAGUUUGAACCACGGUCUUUGCCUGUUGCCAUUUGCUCUGAAUCAGUGUGUUUCUUUCCGUUUCCCUAAUCACAGCCUCUGACAGAAAAAUGAAGACC
This 376-nucleotide long non-coding RNA is filed under the name Calidris pugnax (ruff). RNAcentral describes it as "lncRNA (ENSCPUG00000012312.1)". The record is from RNAcentral. Lineage: Eukaryota; Metazoa; Chordata; Aves; Charadriiformes; Scolopacidae.